GAUGAACGCUGGCGGCGUGCCUAAUACAUGCCAGUCGAGCGAACGGACGAGAAGCUUGCUUUUCUGAUGUUAGCGGCGGACGGGUGAGUAACACGUGGAUAACCUACCGAUAAGACUGGGAUAACUUCGGGAAACCGGAGCUAAUACCGGAUAAUAUUUUGAACCGCAUGGUUCAAAAGUGAAAGACGGUCUUGCUGUCACUUAUAGAUGGAUCCGCGCUGCAUUAGCUAGUUGGUAAGGUAACGGCUUACCAAGGCAACGAUGCAUAGCCGACCUGAGAGGGUGAUCGGCCACACUGGAACUGAGACACGGUCCAGACUCCUACGGGAGGCAGCAGUAGGGAAUCUUCCGCAAUGGGCGAAAGCCUGAUGGAGCAACGCCGCGUGAGUGAUGAAGGUCUUCGGAUCGUAAAACUCUGUUAUUAGGGAAGAACAUAUGUGUAAGUAACUGUGCACAUCUUGACGGUACCUAAUCAGAAAGCCACGGCUAACUACGUG
Molecule: ribosomal RNA, 497 nt
Filed under: uncultured bacterium
Lineage: Bacteria
Description: partial 16S ribosomal RNA
Rfam family: Bacterial small subunit ribosomal RNA
Source: RNAcentral